CCCGCGAUUACGCAACGAUGAGAACGCAGCUCUAGGCCGGUCUGGAAAGGCAGCACAGUUGGGCCCAAGUGGCCCAACUCCCUGGAGGAGAGGACGGGCUCUGAAGACUCUUCCGGCUGCCCCUGAAACCCUGAAACCGCUUAGUUGUUUUUCUGGUUGACUAGCUGCUGCACGCAACUGUCAGCUGCUUGUGAACUGUGUGACGCCAGUUCGCGCUCCUGUUUGUUUUCUAAAAGGCACUGCCCUGAUUUUUUUUUAACGACUAAAUAAUAAUAAUCAUUUCAGUCUCCCUCUCCUGAGGUGUUCCUUGAUGUCUCUAGGGUGCUAGGGCUGGGCCAGCAUCUUUUCCUGCAAUUUUUUUAUCCUCCCAUGGACAGCAGGGAGAACACAGGCUGCACCAGGCUGUUACACCAGGCCUCCCCGCUGGGAUAAAUGCAGCUUGUUUCAAAAGUGAAGGAAGGAAGGAGAGAGCGGAGAGGACAUCAAUCCCCUCCUUCCCAAAGGUUGCACCUACCAGCGACAAGGAAAACUUGGGCGCUGUAUCUGGAAGUCUGAAGAGAUUCUGGUUCAGGAUUGAUUCAGGAUUUCUCCUAGGAGGAACAGCGCAUGUGAUGCCCCUCUUUUCUGUGAUGCUUACAGCUGCUGAUGACUUUUAUCUAAAUCCAUUAACUUAUGAUGAACAGACAAAUGAAUGUGUUCUGAAGCCACCCAAAUUUGUUCCUCCUCAUGCACAGAUGCACAGUGAGCCUAAUGACAAAGUCAACAAUUGUUCAGAAGACCUGCAUUCACCAGAAAGAAUAUUUUUACCAAUAUUCAGAUGAUCACAUUUUAAAAUUCAGCACGGACUGAGUUUUUAUACAUUCUGCACACCCCAAAACAGGGGAAGACCACCACAGCGUGCACAGGAGGAAAAAAGUCAGACUGUGCAAUCAUUAUGCAAUAAUGCAUUAAUAAUAUAUGGUUUAUUGAACCAAAAAAGACUUUGGCCAAACUCCCAGUCAUUUAACCCAUUGAGUGGUUUUAAGUUAUAUAGCCACCGAAGAAGAAAUUACCUGAGGAAGAAUAGAGUAAACCUACCAGGAACCUCCUCAGUUACCUAAAGCAAUGCCUCUAAGAAGCAUGGAGAAGAAGCUCAGUGUGGAAAUGGAGAAAACCAACUUGUUCAUCUAAAGCUGAGUCUCAGGGACUAUUUGGCACAGAGCUAUGAACCUGGGGGACUGGAAAAGUCAGAAACUUAGCAGUACCGAGGAUCAAACUCCGGACCUUGCACUUGUGAGGCAGGUGGCAGAACCACUGAGCUAAAUCCCUGACAAUUUGCAUUUCUUGAAUGGCUAGCAAUAUUGAGCAUUUUUUCAUGUGUUUAUUGGCUGUUUAUACUUCUUCAUCUGAGAAGUGUCUAUUCACUUCAGAUGUGCAUUUUUGGAUUGGGUCUUUAAAUUUGGGGGGUCUAAUUUUGGGGGGUUCUUUAUGUAGUCUAAGUAUUACUCCUCUGAGUAGCUAGCAAAAUUUUUUGGGGAAGCAAAAGUACUUCUUGAAUAAAAUCAGUCUAUGCACAUAACAGC
Molecule: long non-coding RNA, 1562 nt
Filed under: Heterocephalus glaber (naked mole-rat)
Lineage: Eukaryota; Metazoa; Chordata; Mammalia; Rodentia; Bathyergidae
Description: lncRNA (ENSHGLG00000040653.1)
Source: RNAcentral